RNAcentral lists this ribosomal RNA (389 nucleotides) under uncultured bacterium. RNAcentral describes it as "bacterial SSU rRNA". It matches the Rfam family "Bacterial small subunit ribosomal RNA", at positions 28 to 418 of the family's 1533-position model. The record is from RNAcentral.
GAUGAACGCUAGCGGCAGGCCUAAUACAUGCAAGUCGAGGGGCAGCACGGUAGCAAUACUGGUGGCGACCGGCGCACGGGUGCGUAACACGUAUGCAACCUGCCUUCAACUGGGAGAUAGCCCGGGGAAACUCGGAUUAAUACCCCAUAACACAGUGAAACAGCAUUGUUUAUUGUUAAAGCUCCGGCGGUUGAAGAUGGGCAUGCGUUCGAUUAGCUAGUUGGUGUAGGUAAUGGCUCACCAAGGCUACGAUCGAUAGGGGGUCUGAGAGGAUGAUCCCCACACUGGUACUGAGAUACGGACCAGACUCCUACGGGAGCAGCAGUAGGGAAUAUUGGUCAAUGGACGCAAGUCUGAACCAGCCAUGCCGCGUGCAGGAAGACGGCCCU